GCCCAGAAAGGCAACACAGACCUAAAAACCCACAAUCCUUUCUCUCCCCUUCUUUUGUUCAGACUUCCUCUUUAUUUUUCACAUCUCCUUUUUUUCUGUCUACAAAAUUAAACCAUAUUUGUGGCUGGAAAUUUGGAAAAUGCACAAGAUUACAAAGAAGAAAAUUUGUCAUCCCAAGAUAAAAAUACUGCUCAAAAUGAUCUUUCUCCAGAUUGUAUUCUCUGCACAUUGUAAAAGUAUGUUUUUUUCCAAAAGAAAUUACGACCACCUGUUUCCACUGAAUGAUACAUCAUGAGGGGCAAAGAUGGCAAAAGAAUCGUGGAAUCCACGUGGGGUCUCACUCUGUUGCCCAGGCUGGAGCACAGUGGCAUGAUCACAACUCACUGCAGCCUUGACCUCCCAGGUGCAAGCAAUCCUCCUGCUUCAGCUUGGUGAGUAGCUAGGACCACAGGUGCACACCACCACGCCUAAUUUUUUGCAGAGAUGGCAUCUGGCUAUGUUGCCCAGGCUGAUCUUGAACUCUGGGGUUCAAGUGACCCUCCUGCCUCAGUCUUCCAAAGUGUGGGGAUGACAGGCAUGAGCCACUGCGCCCGGCUCAAACACCUUUCUUUCCAUUCCUGGAAAUGCUGAAAUCCAGUCUCCAGUGCUUCUAACAUGGGGUCGUCUCCAGUUCCCCUCUCAACCACCAGUCCUCUGUCUGGUCCUCUACUCUUUGAUUCUCCAGUGCACCUGAGACCACUGGGUCUCAAAUAAAGCAUCUCCCAGUUUCUCAGCUGACCAUUGGCCUCCUUUAUGAACUUUGUUUUGUACACAUCUGUAUCCUCAGCGCCUAGCAAAACUGGCUGUCAGGAAAUGCUCACUGAGCAAACAAACGUGGCCCCACUAGGAGCCUCACAUCCUCAUUGAUCACAUGACGAGAGUAAAAUUUACCUUGGAGGUAAGAGGCCCAAGAGAAGACACAGCAAGUUCUCAGUAACAAUCACUAUUAGAACUGGGGUAACUGGUCAAAGUGGCUGGGGGAGGGGAGGGCUUAGAGGCCUCCUACAGGCAUCCUGGAUGUGGCAUGUAAUUAGUGCUCAUAAAAGACGGUUCUAUUGAGGAGUGAAAAUGGAACCCCUAAAUAAACUAGUAUGAAAUAACGCAAAAAAAAAAAAAGACAAUUCCAACUAUUGUAGAAGUGAUCACCUCAACACACAUCGCCUCCUUUCCAAACCCUGGGAGAAAGGAGUUCCAACGAGAGGACAUGAGUAUGACAGCAAAGGAGGUGUUCAGGUCUGAGCCAACCUGGCAGGAAGUGAGUGCCUCGCCCAGCCACCCGGCCUCCCCACCUCCCUCCCUCCUCACACUUCCCAUCGAUCUUCAUUGCCAUUUCCUGGGUUUGCACAUUUCCUGGGUUUGCACAAGGCUGCCUCUGGAGACAGCAUGGCUUCUUUCUCAGCUGGCCUUUGGUGUCAGUGCUGGUAUCACCCGCCUCCUGGCGCUGCACACUGCCCAUCAUCACGCACCCAGGGCCUCAGGAUGCUGCUGAGAGCACCCCGGUCCACAGCCAGGUGGGAGAGCACACUGACAGACCGGCUGAACACCUGUCAGACCUCUGAGAACUCUCCUGCAAAGCUUUGGAGGGACGAGUCCACCUGGCACAGAGAUCAAACUCUCCCAGCAUCUCCCUUGAGGUUACAUCAUCCAUGCACCUGCAUUCCUGGACAUCCUGUGAAACCUGAUGGUAACCAACUACACACCAGGAGAGUUUGAAAAAUACCUGGCCUGAUGCAAGAAUCAAAAGAUGGAAAGGAAAAAACAGGAAUGGCAACAUAGGAAAGGCAACCUGUGAUGGCAAAUAAACUUCAAACUCCUUUAGCAGAAUGUAUCGCAGAAGCAGAGAAAUGGAUCACAGCCAAUUAAUUGAACUCUAUAUCCUAUCAAUAUUAACAUGCCACUUCAGAAAAAUCGAGAUUGCUCAAAAACUGCUAGUUACGUGGUCCUGUGGCCUACCACCCUAAGACCAGAAUUCUUACAUCAACAGGGAUGUAUAAAACACUAUUUUUAAAAAAGCACAAAACACUAUUUUUAAAAAAGCACGAAUACUUAAUCUCACAAACAAAAUGUUUUGACCAUUAGUAUUCUUUGGGAGAAAAAAAUAAAAUUUU
This 2147-nucleotide long non-coding RNA is filed under the name Homo sapiens (human). RNAcentral's name for it is "HSALNT0387417". The record is from RNAcentral. Lineage: Eukaryota; Metazoa; Chordata; Mammalia; Primates; Hominidae.